GAUGAACGCUGGCGGCGUGCCUAAUACAUGCAAGUCGAGCGAACAGACGAGGAUCUUGCUCCUCUUACGUUAGCGGCGGACGGGUGAGUACCACGUGGAUAACCUACCUAUAAGACUGGGAUAACUUCGGGAAACCUGAGCUAAUACCGGAUAUUAUAUUGAACCUCAUGGUUCAAUAGUGAAAGCCGUUUUUGCUGUCACUUAUUGAUGUAUCCUCGCCGCAUUAGCUAGUUGGUAAGGUAACGGCUUACCAAGGCGACGAUGCGUAGCCGACCUGAGAGGGUGAUCGGCCACACUGGAACUGAGACACGGUCCAGACUCCUACGGGAGGCAGCAGUAGGGAAUAUUCCGCAAUGGGCGAAAGCCUGACGGAGCAACGCCGCGUGAGUGAUGAAGGUCUUCGGAUCGUAAAACUCUGUUAUUAGGGAAGAACAAAUGUGUAAGUAACUAUGCACGUCUUGACGGUACCAAAACAGAAAGCAACGGCUAACUACGUG
RNAcentral lists this ribosomal RNA (497 nucleotides) under uncultured bacterium. Its description in RNAcentral is "partial 16S ribosomal RNA". It matches the Rfam family "Bacterial small subunit ribosomal RNA", at positions 28 to 507 of the family's 1533-position model. The record is from RNAcentral.